GUUCCCCACAAGCCAGCCCAUGAGGAUCUAUUCCAGCCUGUGGAACGCUGACGACUGGGCAACACAGGGUGGGCGGGUCAAGACCGACUGGUCCAAGGCGCCGUUCACCGCAUCUUUCCGGAACUUCAACGCUGAAGCUUCAGCCGGAGGUGCCUGGUACAACCAGGAGCUGGACUCGGCUAGCGAGAGGAGGUUGAGAUGGGUGCAGAGGAAUUACAUGAUCUACAACUACUGCACCGACCUGAAGAGGUUUCCUCAGGGACUGCCUCCAGAGUGCUCGC
RNAcentral lists this unclassified non-coding RNA (281 nucleotides) under Hevea brasiliensis (rubber tree). The record is from RNAcentral. Lineage: Eukaryota; Viridiplantae; Streptophyta; Magnoliopsida; Malpighiales; Euphorbiaceae.